This 406-nucleotide ribosomal RNA is filed under the name uncultured bacterium. RNAcentral describes it as "partial 16S ribosomal RNA". It matches the Rfam family "Bacterial small subunit ribosomal RNA", at positions 29 to 526 of the family's 1533-position model. The record is from RNAcentral.
AUUGAACGCUGGCGGCAGGCCUAACCCAUGCACGUCGAACGAGUGGCGGACGGGUGAGUCAUGGCUGGGAAACUGCCUGAUGGAGUGGGAUAACUACUGGAAACGGUAGCUAAUACCGCAUACCAUCGGAUGUGCCCAGAUGGGCUUAGCUAGUAGGUGGGGUAAAGGCUCACCUAGGCGACGAUCCCUAGCUGGUCGGAGAGGAUGACCAGCAACACUGGAACUGAGACAAGGGCCAGACCCAGACGGGAGGCAGCAGUGGGGAAUAUGGCACAAGGGGCGAAAGCCUGAUUCAGCCAGGCCGCGUGUAUGAAGAAGGCCUACGGGUUGGAAAGUACUGUCAGCGGGGAGGCGUUACCCGCAGAAGAAGCACCGGCUAAGUCCGUGCCAGCAGCCGCGGUAAUAC